UCAGUGCCCUUACUACUGAACUAGGGAACAGAUUGAGACGCACCCAUAGACAGAUUUCUGUCUACGCUGAAUUUUCUAGGGCCUCUAAAAGCUUUGUGCAUUAUAAAGACAAAUUUAAGAUCUUCACUGCGUUAUAAGUAAUGAUUUUAUUCAUUUUUAUCAUGGAGGCAAAAGGACAUUGAUGAGGGUUUAGUGGACAUGAUCAUCAAGGAUUCACAGCCAUUUUCAGUGGUGGAAGAUGAGGGAUCUAACAUAUUGGCUUUUUUAUAGGAAGCACAUAAGACUCCUCUACUUGUGAGAAAACAAUUACAUGCACUGAAGGACAUGGUUGCUGCAAGGUCCAACACAACAAAAGAGAUUUCUGAAUGCAGUGCAUAGAUCCAUGCUACAGCUACACGGUCACCACUGGAAUCACCCCAGCCUGCUGUCCUUCAGCAGAAGGACAGGGAGAUGAUGGGGAGGAAAACCCAUGGGAUCCCCUGGACCAUAAAAUAGGGGAGACACAAAGAGUCCACACGUCACUGCUGAUGCAUCUUCUGAGGUGCGCCGUUACUUGAAUGCGCCAUAUCACACCAGAACAAGUGAUCCACUGGACUACUGGGAAAAACACCAGACGAUAUUUCCUCAUCUGUUCCACCUGGCCAAGAAAUAUCCUGUCAAGACCAGCAACAUCUGUGCAAUGCAAAAGAUUUUUGUCUAAAGCAGGGGAAGUUCUUUGUAUAGAAAUAAUAAUACAAAAUAUUUAAAAUGCUAAAACAGUGGAACAGCUUAUUUUCCUAAAUAAAAAUUCUUAAUGACA
Long non-coding RNA from Myxocyprinus asiaticus (Chinese sucker), 799 nucleotides. RefSeq lists it as uncharacterized. The transcript is spliced from 2 exons. The record is from RefSeq and is a predicted model, not a curated record. NCBI's taxonomy places the organism in Eukaryota, Metazoa, Chordata, Actinopteri, Cypriniformes, Catostomidae.